Bos taurus (domestic cattle) is the source of this 1990-nucleotide long non-coding RNA. Lineage: Eukaryota; Metazoa; Chordata; Mammalia; Artiodactyla; Bovidae. The record is from Ensembl.
GAGUUUCAGCUGAGGAUGGUUGGGAUGGGAUAAGACAGAUGCUGAGGAAGGAGGCUGUUCUAGAUUUGAUGAAUGAAGGACUGCUGCUGCUGCUAAGUCACUUCAGUCGUGUCCGACUCUGUGCGACCCCAUAGACGGCAGCCCACCAGGCUUCCCCGUCCCUGGGAUUCUCCAGGCAAGAACACUGGAGUGGGUUGCCAUGUCCUUCUCCAAUGCAUGAAAGUGAAAAGUGAAAGUGAAGUCGCUCAGUUGUGUGCGACCCUCAGCGACCCCAUGGACUGCAGCCUUCCAGGCUCCUCCAUCCAUGGGAUUUUCCAGGCAAGAGUUCUGGAGUGGGGUGCCAUUGCUUUCUCUGGAAUGAAGGACUAAUGAAAAUCAAAUGACCAAAUGCAUGAAUAAGCACUUAGAAUAGGAAUCAACAGGAUAAAGGUGGGAGACUCAUGCCCAGUGGAGAAGAGAAUCUCUGGUGGGAGAGAAAUUUGAUAGAUGAUGUAGCUUUUGCUCCUCUCUUGUGCCAGGCCCUGGGAGAGAAACAUACGGGGAGGUUAUUAGUCUACUACUACUACUACUAAGCUGCUUCAGUCGUGUCUGACUCUGUGCGACCCCAUAGACAGCAGCUCACCAGGCUCUGCCAUCCCUGGGAUUCUCCAGGCAAGAACACUGGAGUGGGUUGCUAUUUCCUUCUCCAAUGCAUGAAAGUGAAAAGUGAAAGUGAAGUCGCUCAUUCGUGUCCAACUCUUCUCGACCCCAUGGACUGCAGCCUACCAGGCUUCCCCGUACAUGGGAUUUUCCAGAUGCUGUGGGAGCCCUUCUAGGGAAGAAGAGCCAGAAACGUGCUUUGAAACAUGGGAAGGGAACCACCCAUUGCUCAAGAAGGUGUGUUGGUUCUCCUGGAAUCCCCAACCAGGCUCCUCUCAGAAGGAGCAAAAUGAUUAUUUACCUGCAUCUAUAUGGUUCUGAAGCUAUGAUACUUUGUAUUGGCCACCUGAUGCAAAGAGCUUGCUCAUUAGAAAAGACCCUGAUGCUGGGAAAGAUUGAAGGCAGGACGAGAAGGGGACGACAAAGGAUGAGAUGGUUGGAUGGCAUCACCAACUAGAUAGACAUGAACUUGAGCACACUCUGGGAGUUGGUAAUGGACAGGGAAGCCUGGAAUGCUGCAGUCCAUGAGGUCACAGAGUCAGACACGAAUGAAUGAAAGAACUGAACUGAUACGGUUUUGAAAAAACAGAUACUAAUUAUUAAUUCACUGGGGAAAAUUUGACAUCUCACAUUAACUUUUUUGGGUUUAAGAGUUAAAAACUGAUUUUCAAAAGGUUAACUUAUGAAAACCUCAGCCCAUACACACUUGCUCAGUUAGCCUUUGUAAGGUUCCGUCAGAUGGCACUAGGUCCACUGGCCAUCAGUGGAGGUAGGCGUGGAAGAAAGGAGUUUUGGACCUUGAAUGUAGGGAUCCAGAGGGCACUGAGCAGGUAGACUUUCAGAGAAGUGGACCAAAGCACCUGCUUCACCACCGUCUUAGCCCUGGAGGUAGACAACCCUCGCCCAAAUUCUCAGUGCUUCUGUUUCAUUCCACACUUCCCUGUUUAUUUAAUUUCACUGGCUUUUAGUCAGAAAUUGACUGUGUAAAAUAUUUGGCAUAGAAAGUAAAGUGAAACACUGAAAAUCCAAGGCAACAGGAUAUAAACAGUGAACACAAUAUCCUUGGCCAGUGACUUCUUGUUUCCUCUCCUUAGCAGUGCUGUGGAUUCUCAGCACACUCUGAGAGACCUGAGUGAGCCCUGCUUGUGGUCUGUGAACCUUAUAGGACUCACAGUCCUCUAUUUGCAGGAUCCUUGUUACCAAGGAAAUGGAAACUGGGCCAAAAAUAGAAAUGAUGCCCAUUUGCAAAAUCCUAAAGGAAACAUAGAAACUGGCAACAAUGGGCAAGCCACUCUUGUGGGUUCUUAUUUCUCAGAUAAACAUGCCUUAAUUUAAGAAUCACCCUUGUUAU